CUUCUACUCUUUUUGCUUGAAAAUCAUAUAAUUUCCAGUAAUUUUUUGUUCUUUUGCCUCAUGAUUACUUUAAUUAAUAUAAUCAAUUGUAGUGGAUGAAGCACUCAUAUUCUAGCCAACGGUUACCUUGUCAAUUAUUAUUUUUUUCAUCGUUUAAAUCAUCAUGUUAUUCAUGUCUUUAGUUGGUGAAGCUAUGCAUACUUAGUCGAACCAUCUUACAGGUUAAUAUCACCUUAACAAAUCAGGUCUUAUUCUCGAUAAUUUUGGAAUUGAUUGUGUGAAUGAAGAUGCUUUAGCAAUUGUGGCGUAGUUUUAGUCUGCUCUCAUUUACACCAAAAAUAACGAGCCUUGAGGAUUUCCUGUCGAGCCAAUAUCUCAUUGCUCAAGAGCAUCAAAGAUUCAAUUUUCUGUUAGAAAAUCAGUGAGUGAAAACUUAGUCAUGUCACUCAAACAAUAACAAGUUAAAGAAUGUCUAGACCACCAGCUCAAGGCUUGUUCAAGUCACAAAGGUAAAGGUUUACUUGUCUUAUGGACUAUAUACUUCUUCUUCCAUUUUUAUUUUUUUUAUUUUUAUCAUAGAGACAGUGAAAAUUAAGUAUCUAGCUUUGCACUUUGUUUGUUUAUUGAAGACCAGUAAAACUAGAAUCAAAAGAUAUACCAAGCAAUACUGUAUCUUCCUUCUUGAUAUGGUUGUCUUGCCACUUUAAAUAAAUUCCUACAUUAGAUGAUGUACUAAGGAACAUAUUGAUUUACCGCUGUAGAUUUGCAGUAUAAUAUUGUCAGUACUUAAGAUGUUAACAGCUUAAUAUUGUGCCGACAAACUUGUUUGAAGACAAGAAAUUACGUAUUUGUAGUUUUAUAUUUUCCUACUUACAAGUAAAAAGUCACGUCUAACUUUCAAUACUAUCAACUCAAUCAUUUUCAGUUUUAGUCGAUGAAAAAAAUUGUUUAUUGCUUGAACUUUCUCAUGAGUAAUUUUCU
RNAcentral lists this long non-coding RNA (981 nucleotides) under Olea europaea subsp. europaea. Lineage: Eukaryota; Viridiplantae; Streptophyta; Magnoliopsida; Lamiales; Oleaceae. The record is from RNAcentral.